GUUUAAAAAAAAAAAUGUUAAAAAAUAGCUUUUAAAUUUUUUACUUUUUAUUGAUCUAAAGUAUUUGAAGUUUUUAUCAAUAAAAUUUUAUAUUUUUUCGACAUAUUUUACUUUAUAAUUAAAUUAUUUAAAAAUUAUCAAUUUUUUAUCCCUACUAUGGCGAAUUUAUAGUUUAACAGCGUAGAAGAAUCUAAAUUUAUUCAGAUUCUGAUAUAGAAUACUUUAAAUUAUCUAGAUCAAGGUCAACAUUCUUAAUCUUGAAUUCGAAAGUCCUACCCUCAAAUUUUAAAUAUUGUUCAAUUUUCACCGUUCAAUUUGAUAUGAUUUACUUACUAAAUAAACGAUAUCAAAAAAAUUAUAAAUUUAUUCUUAGGAACUUCAUAUACCCUAAAUCAUAUUUAAUGAUGUGGAUCGUUGAUUUAAAUAUCCUAAGAUCAGAAAUGAAACUAUAGUACCGAAGCUCCGAUUCUAUAGAUAGUACAUGACAAAAUGAUUGCAAUCAAUUUAUUAAUAUACGAGAUUCCAUUUAAAAAAAUAAAUAAAAGAUAAACACGAUUUCAAAGUAGACCUAUAUAUUAUAGGUUAUCUACUACUAUAUACUAAAGUCUGUGGGGCGUGCGGUUUUUCUUUCUGGACACAUGUCCAUUUGUUAUAUUCGAUGCAUUUGGUGUACCGUGGAUUAAAUCAAAAAAAUAUAUUUUUACUUACUAGAUGUAUUUAAAGUUUAUAAAUUUUAAUAUAUAAAUAUUUCGAAUGUUGUAAAACAUAACCAAUAAAUUUAAUCUUAAUUUUUGAAUUGUUUAUAAUUGAUUUUUAGGAGUAUUGAGCAUAAUAUUGUAAACCGGAUUCAAUACAUCAUGAAUUAAUAAUGGAGAUAUUG
RNAcentral lists this long non-coding RNA (880 nucleotides) under Ananas comosus (pineapple). RNAcentral describes it as "long non-coding RNA (ACOM_LNC004388)". Lineage: Eukaryota; Viridiplantae; Streptophyta; Magnoliopsida; Poales; Bromeliaceae. The record is from RNAcentral.